AUGGCAGUCUCAGUUUGCAGUAUCAACAUUAACCCCAUAGCAUUAGCAACACCAUCUUUCUCAUUCAAGUCUCUCAAAUUCCCUUCCUUCUGGCCAACACAAAAGUUAUGGCACUGGAAAGUUAAAUGGUCAGGGCGAGAAGCUUCUGGGGAGGUUAUUCGAGAAUUUCAAGAGCAAAAGGGGAGCCAGCGUGAAAGAGUCAUUGCUACUAAGUUUGCAGCAUAUCCAUGGCGCCUUACACCAGGGCAGUUUGUGAAUGCUUGCAGGGCAUCACUAGAUAGAAUGCAAAUUGAGCAAAUUGGGAUGGGACAACUACAUCGGUCUACUACAAAUUAUGCUCCUUUGCAAGAAUUAGCUCUUUGGGAUGGUUUAGUGGCAAUAUAAGAGAAGGAUUUAGUUAAAGCAGUUGGAGUAAGUAAUUACGGACCAAAGCAGCUUUUAAAGAUACAUGAUUAUCUGAAAGACCUUGGAGUCCCCUUGUGCUCAGCCCAGUUGCAAUUUUCUCUGUUAAGCACGGGGAAAUAUCAACUAAAGAUCAAGAGCAUAUGUGACAGUCUGGGUAUUCGUAUGAUUGCAUAUAGUCCUCUAGGACUUGGAAUGCUUACUGGGAAAUAUUCAUCAUCCAAACUUCCGAGUGGGCCAAGGGCGUUGCUAUUUAAGCAAAUUCUUCCGGGACUAGAUCCUUUAUUGAGUUCCCUGAGAGAGAUUGCAAAUAAACGACGGAAAACCAUGUCACAAGUUGCUAUAAAUUGGUGCAUCGGUUCCAAUUACUGGAGUCAAAUCAAUUAAACAAGCUGAGGAAAAUUUGGGUGCUCUUCGUUGGCGCCUCUCCUCAGACGAGUUGCUUCAGUUGGAGGAUGCAGCAAAUGAAUCACCUCGCAGGAUGAUCCAAAACAUUUUCCAAACCAGGUAUACAUGUAACACUAAAAAGGCAAACCAAAUAAAGAGAUACGGAGGAUGCAAUCAUCCAAGUGUUUUACAUGACUUGGCAUUCAUAACAGAUAAAACCAGUGGCGGGACCUUCGCACUCGGUUCGAAGGAAUGCAUAGUUUACUCAAUGGAGGUCACUGGUUUAUAUCAUCUGGUAUCAUUAAAGGCAGAGAGCAAACAAGCUUGUCCAGGAAAAAUGACAACGGAUCAAUCUAUAACGGCACAACAAUGGCGUAAACUAAUGCAAGAGUCCAUGCCAGUGAUGCCACAACGUAGUUUUGGACAAUCUCGUCAGAUAAUAUUGCUUUGUUGUUAAAAAUUAAACUGACGGUUAGAAAAGUACAAUGAACAAAUGCCACGCUUACAUUCACAAAAAUUAAAAAAUAAAGAAUUCAUUUACUUUCA
Glycine soja is the source of this 1335-nucleotide RNA transcript. It is a transcript of the gene named pyridoxal reductase, chloroplastic-like, with no coding region annotated. Lineage: Eukaryota; Viridiplantae; Streptophyta; Magnoliopsida; Fabales; Fabaceae. The transcript is spliced from 8 exons. The record is from RefSeq and is a predicted model, not a curated record.